Molecule: ribosomal RNA, 427 nt
Filed under: uncultured bacterium
Lineage: Bacteria
Description: partial 16S ribosomal RNA
Rfam family: Bacterial small subunit ribosomal RNA
Source: RNAcentral
UGGGGAAUAUUGCACAAUGGGCGCAAGCCUGAUGCAGCCAUGCCGCGUGUAUGAAGAAGGCCUUCGGGUUGUAAAGUACUUUCAGCGGGGAUGAAGGGAGUAAAGUUAAUACCUUUGCUCAUUGACGUUACCCGCAGAAGAAGCACCGGCUAACUCCGUGCCAGAAGCCGCGGUAAUACGGAGGGUGCAAGCAUUAAUCGGAAUUACUGGGCGUAAAGCGCACGCAGGCGGUUUGUUAAGUCAGAUGUGAAAUCCCCGGGCUCAACCUGGGAACUGCAUCUGAUACUGGCAAGCUUGAGUCUCGUAGAGGGGGGUAGAAUUCCAGGUGUAGCGGUGAAAUGCGUAGAGAUCUGGAGGAAUACCGGUGGCGAAGGCGGCCCCCUGGACGAAGACUGACGCUCAGGUGCGAAAGCGUGGGGAGCAAACA